RNAcentral lists this ribosomal RNA (253 nucleotides) under uncultured bacterium. Its description in RNAcentral is "partial 16S ribosomal RNA". It matches the Rfam family "Bacterial small subunit ribosomal RNA", at positions 524 to 776 of the family's 1533-position model. The record is from RNAcentral.
UACGUAGGGUGCAAGCGUUAAUCGGAAUUACUGGGCGUAAAGCGUGCCCAGGCGGCUUUGCAAGACGGAUGUGAAAUCCCCGGGCUUAACCUGGGAACUGCAUUUGUGACUGCAUGGCUGGAGUGCGGCAGAGGGGGAUGGAAUUCCGCGUGUAGCAGUGAAAUGCGUAGAUAUGCGGAGGAACACCGAUGGCGAAGGCAAUCCCCUGGGCCUGCACUGACGCUCAUGCACGAAAGCGUGGGGAGCAAACAGG